CAGGGAGACAACAAAAUGUUUAAUAUUAUUAUUUUGUCACCUUAGGUCGAUCGGUAUCUCACAUUCUUGACUUAUAUAAGAAUUUCAUUUCCUAAGUUUUUCUAGGUCACACCCAUUAUUUUUCCUGGGCCAUUAGCUCAGGUGGUUAGAGCGCACCCCUGAUAAGGGUGAGGUCCCUGGUUCAAGUCCAGGAUGGCCCAUAUCUCUAUGUUGGGGGUAUAGCUCAGUUGGUAGAGCGCCUGCUUUGCAAGCAGGAUGUCAGCGGUUCGAGUCCGCUUACCUCCACUGAUUACCACCUCUACCAUAAUUUGUAGAAAGGAAAUGUUUUGAGUUGUGAUCAAAUUCUGAACGAAUCUAGCUUCCUAAUAAAAUCAUUAAGAUGCUGGACUCAUUGAAUUAAUUUCAUUGUUUUCAGAGAACCUUGACAACUGCAUAGAUUAUUUUUAAAGACAAUAAGCAUCUUUAAUGAUGCAGAUUUAUUAUUUGUGCAAAUGCAUUAAUAACAAUUCUAUUAAGCUGAUGCUUCAAUUUUGAAGUUAUUG
This 542-nucleotide transfer RNA is filed under the name uncultured Prochlorococcus sp. RNAcentral describes it as "16S-23S ribosomal RNA intergenic spacer". The stretch from base 213 to 285 matches the Rfam family "tRNA". The record is from RNAcentral. Lineage: Bacteria; Bacillati; Cyanobacteriota; Cyanophyceae; Synechococcales; Prochlorococcaceae.